RNAcentral lists this ribosomal RNA (255 nucleotides) under uncultured bacterium. Its description in RNAcentral is "partial 16S ribosomal RNA". It matches the Rfam family "Bacterial small subunit ribosomal RNA", at positions 524 to 776 of the family's 1533-position model. The record is from RNAcentral.
UACGAAGGGGGGCUAGCGUUGUUCGGAUUUACUGGGCGUAAAGCGCACGUAGGCGGGUCGUUAAGUCGGGGGUGAAAUCCUGGAGCUCAACUCCAGAACUGCCUUCGAUACUGGCGACCUAGAGUCCGGAAGAGGUGAGUGGAACUCCUAGUGUAGAGGUGGAAUUCGUAGAUAUUAGGAAGGAACACCAGUGGCGAAGGCGGCUCACUGGUCCGGUACUGACGCUGAGGUGCGAAAGCGUGGGGAGCAAACAGG